This 492-nucleotide ribosomal RNA is filed under the name uncultured bacterium. Its description in RNAcentral is "partial 16S ribosomal RNA". It matches the Rfam family "Bacterial small subunit ribosomal RNA", at positions 29 to 507 of the family's 1533-position model. The record is from RNAcentral.
AGUGAACGCUGGCGGUAGGCCUAACACAUGCAAGUCGAACGGCAGCACAGUAAGAGCUUGCUCUUACGGGUGGCGAGUGGCGGACGGGUGAGGAAUACAUCGGAAUCUACUUUUUCGUGGGGGAUAACGUAGGGAAACUUACGCUAAUACCGCAUACGACCUACGGGUGAAAGCAGGGGAUCUUCGGACCUUGCGCGAUUGAAUGAGCCGAUGUCGGAUUAGCUAGUUGGCGGGGUAAAGGCCCACCAAGGCGACGAUCCGGAGCUGGUCUGAGAGGAUGAUCAGCCACACUAGAACUGAGACACGGUCCAGACUCCUACGGGAGGCAGCAGUGGGGAAUAUUGGACAAUGGGCGCAAGCCUGAUCCAGCCAUACCGCGUGGGUGAAGAAGGCCUUCGGGUUGUAAAGCCCUUUUGUUGGGAAAGAAAAGCAGCAGGUUAAUACCCCGCUGUUCUGACGGUACCCAAAGAAUAAGCACCGGCUAACUUCGUG